GACAGAGGUGCCAAGCGUUAGGCGGAAUCACUGGGCUUAAAGCGUGUGUAGGCGGAAUUGUAAGUACCUUGUGAAAUCCCACGGCUCAACUGUGGAACUGCUUGGUAUACUGCCGGUCUUGAGCCAGCUAGGGGCUACCGGAACAAAUGGUGGAGCGGUGAAAUGCGUAGAUAUCAUUUGGAACGCCAAUGGUGAAAACAGGUAGCUGGGGCUGUGCUGACGCUGAGGCACGAAAGCUAGGGGAGCGAACGGG
Molecule: ribosomal RNA, 253 nt
Filed under: uncultured bacterium
Lineage: Bacteria
Description: partial 16S ribosomal RNA
Rfam family: Bacterial small subunit ribosomal RNA
Source: RNAcentral